UACGUAGGCAGCAAGCGUUGUUCGGAUGUACUGGGCGUAAAGGGUGUGUAGGCGGUUGCUUAAGUUUGGUGUGAAAUCUCCCGGCUCAACUGGGAGGGUGCGCCGAAUACUGAGUGACUCGAGUGCGGGAGAGGAAAGUGGAAUUCCUGGUGUAGCGGUGAAAUGCGUAGAUAUCAGGAGGAACACCGGUGGUGUAGACGGCUUUCUGGACCGUAACUGACGCUGAAACACGAAAGCGUGGGUAGCAAACAGG
This 253-nucleotide ribosomal RNA is filed under the name uncultured bacterium. RNAcentral describes it as "partial 16S ribosomal RNA". It matches the Rfam family "Bacterial small subunit ribosomal RNA", at positions 524 to 776 of the family's 1533-position model. The record is from RNAcentral.